CAUCUUCACGCUGCAGACUCUGAAAUUUCUCUCUAUCCAUCCACAUUCUGCCCCUGCAGGGAAAAUGAUGUUGGCCCCAGGUUCCAUUCCCAGACUGGCCUGGGCAGGCCAGAGCGGUCAUCAAGUUGGAACUCAGGGGCCUGAGGUUGGUCCCAACAGAUCCAAGGGCAAAACCAAAAGCAAGCCAUUCUGUAAGGAUCUCACACAGAACCAGGGACUCACUUUGUAGCUCAAGCUGGCCUCUAACUUGCGAUCCUCUUUCGUCAGCCUCCUGAAUGCUGGGGGUUAUGCUAACCUCUGUGCCUGCUGAACAGAUGAGGACCUCCUUAGGUGCUGGAGCACUGUGUUGUACAGCGUUCCCUGCGGGAUGGUGCUCAUGCCGGCAUGAUCUCCCAAGCGAAAUCUGGGACAGAAGUCAUGACAGGAUUGUGAAGAAGGCCGACAGUGGACAGUGUAAAUGAGGAGAGAAUUUCCUCUUCAGGAGGAGUAAAGGCAGCAGGAAAUGGUUUUCUAACUCUGUUAGCAGAGUUUUAUAGCCAGGAAGAUUACAACCACUUUCUACCACCAUUCUCACCCUAAUGAGGCUCUGAACUGACCGUGUCUGUGGAUUGCUGUUUGUGAAAU
This is a long non-coding RNA of Heterocephalus glaber (naked mole-rat), 624 nucleotides long. The record is from Ensembl. NCBI's taxonomy places the organism in Eukaryota, Metazoa, Chordata, Mammalia, Rodentia, Bathyergidae.